UAAUACGGGGGGAGCAAGCGUUGUUCGGAUUUACUGGGCGUAAAGGGCGCGUAGGCGGUCAGCACAAGUCAGUUGUGAAAUCUCCGAGCUUAACUCGGAAAGGUCAACUGAUACUGUGCGACUAGAGUGCAGAAGGGGCAACUGGAAUUCUCGGUGUAGCGGUGAAAUGCGUAGAUAUCGAGAGGAACACCUGCGGCGAAGGCGGGUUGCUGGGCUGACACUGACGCUGAGGCGCGAAAGCUAGGGGAGCGAACGGGAUUAGAUACCCCGGUAGUCCUAGCCUUAAACGAUGAAUGCUUGGUGUCUGGGGUUAUAUAGUCCCCGGGUGCCGUCGCUAACGCUUUAAGCAUUCCGCCUGGGGAGUACGGUCGCAAGACUG
Molecule: ribosomal RNA, 379 nt
Filed under: uncultured bacterium
Lineage: Bacteria
Description: bacterial SSU rRNA
Rfam family: Bacterial small subunit ribosomal RNA
Source: RNAcentral